This 30-nucleotide non-coding RNA is filed under the name Mus musculus (house mouse). Lineage: Eukaryota; Metazoa; Chordata; Mammalia; Rodentia; Muridae. The record is from RNAcentral.
UAGGUUACUGUAGAGCUCAUAGAAAUUCUA